This 503-nucleotide ribosomal RNA is filed under the name uncultured bacterium. Its description in RNAcentral is "partial 16S ribosomal RNA". It matches the Rfam family "Bacterial small subunit ribosomal RNA", at positions 30 to 523 of the family's 1533-position model. The record is from RNAcentral.
AUUGAACGCUGGCGGCAGGCUUAACACAUGCAAGUCGAGCGAGGUGAUGGUGCUUGCACUAUCACUUAGCGGCGGACGGGUGAGUAAUGCUUGGGACUCUGCCUAUUAGUGGGGGACAACAUCUCGAAAGGGAUGCUACUACCGCAUACGUCCUACGGGAGAAAGCAGGGGAUCACUUGUGACCUUGCGCUAAUAGAUGAGCCUAAGUCGGAUUAGCUAGUUGGUGGGGUAAAGGCCUACCAAGGCGACGAUCUGUAGCGGGGCUGAGAGGAUGCUCCGCCACACUGGGAUGGGGAUACGGCCCAGACGUCUCCGCGACGACGCAGUCGGGUAUAUUGGACUAUGGGCGGAACCCUGAUCCAGCCAUGCCGCGUGUGUUAAGAAGGCCUUAUGGUUGUAAAGUACCUUAAGCGAGGAGGAGGCUCUUUUGGUUAAUACCCAAGAUGAGUGGACGUUACUCUCAGAAUAAGCACCGGCUAACUCUGUGCCAGCAGCCGCCGUAA